Molecule: long non-coding RNA, 679 nt
Filed under: Rattus norvegicus (Norway rat)
Lineage: Eukaryota; Metazoa; Chordata; Mammalia; Rodentia; Muridae
Description: long non-coding RNA NONRATT019025
Source: RNAcentral
GAGGUUCUGGUCGGGCUGCGCGGUCUGUCCGGCGUGUGCGGGAUGCAGGUUCCACAGCUUCUGGUGCUUUUCGGUAGCCAGACUGGCACAGCUCAGGACGAGGCGGAGAGGCUGGGCCGCGAGGCCCGGCGCCGGCGGCUAGGUUGCCGCGUGCAAGCUUUGGACUCUUACUCCGUGGUGAGGCUCGGGCGCUACGGCGGAGACCUUCCACCGGACUUCCCGUCCUCGGACGGAGGACGUUUGAAUGCGGCCCUUUGGGCCCAAGCGAAUUUAGGGAAAAGGGAGGCACGAGGCUGAGGCCCGAGAAAGAGAAACCCCGAUAGCCACUGGGAAUAAUUGUCCAAACACUUUUACUCUGUUACCCUAGGUGAAGGUGGUGGGAUGCGGUUCAGGGAGGGCACUGAUCAGGGCCGCCAGAGACCUUACACCUACCUGUGUCUUGUCCUUGAGGCGAAUCUCAUUAGGGAGCCCCUGGUGAUAUUUGUUUGUGCGACUACAGGCCAAGGAGACCCUCCUGACAACAUGAAGACAGAAAACUGGCCUGAGCUGUGGUCCUAACACAGUUUCCUGUGGCUACAGAACUUCUGGAGGUUCAUAUUCCGGAAGAGCCUGCCAUCCACCUCCCUCUGUCAAAUGGAUUUUGCUGUCCUAGGCCUCGGGGAUUCCUCAUAUGCCAAGU